Molecule: long non-coding RNA, 833 nt
Organism: Actinia tenebrosa (Australian red waratah sea anemone)
Lineage: Eukaryota; Metazoa; Cnidaria; Anthozoa; Actiniaria; Actiniidae
Source: RefSeq, a predicted model, not a curated record
AUAUGAAUACUUCAGAGUUGGGGACGAGUCUGUCAACUAUCGUCUUGAAGUCAAGAAUUUUUCAGGAGAUGCAAACGAUUCACUUAGUUACCAUGACAACAAGUUCUUCAGCACGCCGGACCGUGAUAACGACCACGUGAACAGAACAUGUACAGCUCAGUGCUUAGGUGCUUGGUGGUACGAUGGUUGCUAUCAGUGCAACCCUAAUGGUCCGUACGUCCAGGAAGGUACCAUCAUCAGUCCUUGUCGUGGUGUUAUCUGGAAUACCUGGCAUGGAAGUAGUUACUCUUUAAAGAGAUUUGAGAUGAAAAUAAAGUCCAAUUAAAACCGUCCAAAAUAUUUGUCAUAUUAUAGGUCAUGUGUUUAUAUUCCGCCAUGUUGGGCUGCACUGCACGCAUUCGGUUGGCAUGAGAAACCUUGAGUGCGCCAUUAAUGCGCAGUUGAAAAAAUUCCAAAUUUAGAUUAUGACUCGAAUAUGUUACAAGGACCACAGAUUUGUUAGCUGCAAAGCUAUUGUGAUCCUCUUAUAGCUUCCGGAUAGAGUUUUAUAAUCACCCUUCGUCAGUAAUACAAGUCCCACAGCAAUCCCAUGAGUCAUUGCGGGAAGUGACCACGUGACAUAUUAGCAAAUAUCACAUGACCUGUCAGUGAAAGUUUCCAUGACAAUGAAGUGGCCUUUUCGAUAAAAUAAAACUGAACUGUUCUUGAUUUGCGAUUUAACUUGCAUAAUAAAAUACAACGUAUGGUGAACUAGAACGUCAAUGUAGAUGGAAUAUAGCAAGAUUAUUUUAGUCAUUUAUUACAUAACAAAUAAACAAAUUAUUUCAUGUUUA